This 733-nucleotide long non-coding RNA is filed under the name Helianthus annuus (common sunflower). RNAcentral describes it as "hypothetical non coding rna". The record is from RNAcentral. Lineage: Eukaryota; Viridiplantae; Streptophyta; Magnoliopsida; Asterales; Asteraceae.
GAGAGAUGGGGUUCCGACUGUUUUCCAGGGAGCCCUCCGUUCCACAACAUGAUGCUUAGAGCUAGAGAGACGGGAGAAACAAAGUAUGGUGUAAAUAUGCGCAUAUGUAAGUUAUAUAUAUUCAUUGGACAGUUAGUUGGUGGAAGGACCGGCUAUAAAUUAUAAUCCAAUAUUAACUUUAAUCAGAUAUUUGUCCCUAUCCACAAAGAAAUACAUUGGUGUUUAGCCGUUAUUACAAAAAAGAAGAAAAGUUCCAGCAUCUUGAGUCUCGACUCACUAGGAGGAGCUGACAAGAAAGUAUUAAGAACAUUGGAACAUGCUGUUGGAGCAAUUGUCAAAAUUGCAACAUAAACUUUUUGCCUGACGCCUCACCCGCUAUACAACACUUGUCUUAUGCAGCCUGAGCACAAGACCAUGUGCCUGAGUUCGCUGAGGCAUGAUUAUUAAAACCAAGCUGGGAGUACCUACUGAUUAUCUAUGCCUGACUUCGCUUAGGCACGAAUAUUAAAAUCAAGCUGGGAGUACCUACUUAUUAUCUGUGUAUAUUACCAUAUUAGUAAGAACUUAAAUCGGUGUUCUAAGCACUUGGAGAAGGUGCAGGCGGAAAAUUGUAUCUUCAUGUACAGGAUGGUAGUGGUGCUUAGGAGAGAGCUAAGUUUUGCUGUUAUUCUUCUAUAAAAAACUAAUAAUAAGUGUAUUUAAGAUGAAGGGAUUAGAUUGUGAUUGUUUUGUU